CUCUAGUCCGACUCUGUGAAAAGACAUGGGGGGUGUAGUAAUAAGUGGGAGGCGGUAAUUGCCCUUCGGGGUCUCUCGUUCGACAAUGAAAGACCACUCCCAUCAUUAUUUCUUUGCAUAUUCAGUGAAGGGGGAACUGUCAAUUAUUUUCCAUGUUGACAUUAAACACACACGUUAGUGCGUUGGUCUCACCACGUGUGUGGCUGAAAAAGUGGAACUGACAAAGACAAGGGAG
RNAcentral lists this non-coding RNA (235 nucleotides) under Schistocephalus solidus. Lineage: Eukaryota; Metazoa; Platyhelminthes; Cestoda; Diphyllobothriidea; Diphyllobothriidae. The record is from Rfam by way of RNAcentral.